This 1655-nucleotide unclassified non-coding RNA is filed under the name Amphibalanus amphitrite. Its description in RNAcentral is "predicted GPI-anchored protein 58, transcript variant X8". The record is from RNAcentral. Lineage: Eukaryota; Metazoa; Arthropoda; Thecostraca; Balanomorpha; Balanidae.
GAAUUUCGUAGUCGCAAUCGCAAGAUUUGGCUGCGUUUCUGGCGCUUGCCGUUCAUUUGUGGCGCAAAAUAAUGUAAACAGUGUCAUUUCUCGCAUUUCUUGCUCUCGAAUGCACUCCUUGCUUUGUAUGGUUGAUUAUUUGAUAAAUAUUUAAAGUUUUGUUGCAAUGCCUGGUCAGAAAUGCUGUGUAAGAAAUUGCAAUGGAACGAAAGAUCUCAGCGCUAUUCCCGGUGGCAAAAUUGACGACACGCGAAGAAAAGUUUGGCUGACACAUUGUAGAAAAAAUUCUUCUUUGCUGAAGCAAGGGCGUGUUUGCCGCAAACAUUUCAGCCCCACUCAGAUGGUGGAAGCAAAUGGCAAGCUAUACUUGAAACAUGACGCCGUACCGGACCAAAACCUUCCUGGCCCCCCAUCAGAUGAUGACGAGCCACGCAUGGCUACCAAGAGACUUCGCCACUCCUCAGAUGAUGACGGACCGCCCGUGGCUGAUGGUCGUCCUGGUUCAUCAGAGCCAGAUGCCACCAUGUGCGACCCACGGACCAACAGUCCGCAGUCCGCAGUGCCUCGCCAUCUCGUGGAUCUGUCCUCCACUCCUCUGUCUGUGGAUGGAAAAAGGAGCUCCACGAGCAAGAAACGCGCUCUCAACCUAACACCAACAUCAAAAGUGAGGCGAACCAAGGUCACAAGUGCGGCUCGAAACGCGAGACGGGUGUGCUUGUCAACCAAAGGACAUCAGGAGCUCCAGCAGGUGUGCAAGUCGAUGGCAUGCACCAGCGGAACUGCAGUCAGGCGUCUUUGUAAGAUCAGCAACAUGGUAAACCGUUGUUGUGUCAAGACAUGCAAGCAACACUUCGAUUACAAGCCCCAACAUACGCAGGGUGCAAAAUGGAAACUACACAGGAUGCCCAAGGCUGGAGACAGCAGGCGCCAGGCGUGGCUGGAUGCCUUGGGCCUCCCAUCGGCCGAUAAGACUCUCUACGUGUGCAGCAUGCAUUUUGUUGACAGCGAUUACACCCCAAAUCGCUUCCUCCAGCCGGAGGCUGUACCCUCGAAGAACCUUGGUACGUCACCUGCGACGGCGACGUCACCUGCGAGUUCCGCGGAACCCCUGACGCCGUCACCAGCUGGACCAUCCGCGGCACUGGACCAUCCAGCGACGGCCGUGACGCCGUCACCAGCUGGACCAUCCGCGGCACUGGACCAUCCAGCGACGGCCGUGGCGUCGACUCUGCCGACGCCGGAGACGUCGGCGACGUCAGCUGCGCCGCUGGUGUCAACACCGCAUGGACACCAGCUGCGAGCUGGUAAACGGCGGUGGAGUGGAAGCAGGUUCCCAGCUAGAAAAGCACUCGAGAGCGAAAAGAAAUGCCCUUAAAGCAUGUGGUCUCAAAAAGUGAACCAAGGUCCUCAAAGGUCAAUGGGCUUGGCCUGAUCUUCACAUGACCUUGAUACCCACCAUGAUGCAUGGGGCCAACAUCAUUUCACACGUUUGAACGUUUACAACCACAAAAAGGCUGGAACUGCGCAGAAAACUGCCGACGAACGACCGUCAGAGAUGUCCACGUCUGAUGGCCAGCGGGAACGUGACAUCCAACCAAGCACUGAGGAGGAGACAGUGGAGGAGUCUGUGUCUGACGGUGACGUUGAUGACUCUG